UCUCACAGGAUUGUGUUCCAGAUGUGGCUGUGGCUGUACAAGCAUCUCCAUGUCUGGAUUUUUCCUCAAACCAUUACACAUAAUUUGAGGACAGUGUUGUUGCUGAAGUUACAGGUCAUCUGUGGAUGUUGUAAGCCUGACUAUUCCAGAUUGGGUGCUCACCUGCAGGCAGUGGUGGGCAAACAGCUGAUGCUUGGACAAUCAGUCAGUCAGGCAUGUGAGUGCUUGUACCAAAUGGGACAGCGUUGCAAGAGCCUGACAUAUGCAAAAAUUUGGAGCAUACCAUCUGAUCAAAAGUAUCUGGACAUCUAUUAGUGUACAUUAAUAUGGGAUGUGUCUGCCCUUCAAUUUUAUGAAGACUUGAACUUUGUUGGGGACACUUUCAGUGAGGUCUCUGAAUGUCUGUGGAGGAAUGGCUGCCCACUCUUUCUCAAGAGUUGAAAUCAGAGAAGGUAGGCAUGUGGGACACUGGGGUCUGGAGUGAAAUUGACGUUUUAACUCGUCACAGAGGUGUUACAUCGGUUUCGGGUCAGGACUCUGAUUAGGCCAGUCCAUUUCAGGGAUGGUGUUAUCCUCAAACCACUGGCUCACUGCUGCUUUAUGAAAGGGUGCAUUUGUCAUGCUGAUACAGUCAGUCAUUCUCUCUGAGCAGUUCCUCUACUCUAUGCAGUACACAGUGCUGUAAAAGGUGUUCAUAUUUUUCCACCUAAGGGGACCACAUCCUGACUAUGAAAAACACCCCCAUACCAUAACACUACGUCCUCUGUACUUCACUUUUUGCACUACACAUGAUGACAGGUAACAUCCUCCAGGCAUUCACUGAACCCAAACCCGUCAUUUUGAUUUGCCACGGUAUAUAGUGUUGACUCCUCUCUCCAGAUUAUUUAUUUCCAGUCAUCCACUGUCCAGUGGCAUUGCUCUGUAUACCACCUCAAGUGUCACUCGGCAUUGGCUACUGAAUUGUGUGGGUUAUGAGGAGCUGCACGACUAUUGUACCCCAUUCUUUUUAACUCAUUACACACAGUCAUUGUGCUAGCUGGACUGCUGGUAGCACUUUGGAAGUCACAGAUGAUUCCUUCUACUGAUUUCAUAUGGAUACCUUUUGUACAGAAAAAAAGAAAUCACCAUCACUGGACAUUAUCUGGGGGGUGUUUUUUUUUGCAUUUCCACUUCACAGUCAACCCUGAUGAAUUUGUCACUCAGAUGACAUCUGACGACUAGUCCAUAUAUGAAGCUACUGAUCUCUUCUGGCCACCUAUUCUGCUGUUACUAAUUCUCUAGUGGCAACACAAUACUUUCCACCUCAUUUUAUACUAGUAGGUCUGCCUCUCAUAACUUUCACUUAUGGUGUAAAAUAGAUCUGAUGACUCCUUGACAUCAAGUUUUUGUUAUGGUACAUUCGUAAUACAGUAGCACCCAAAAAGCCCAUUGCCAGCUUGACCUCAGAAGUGGAGUAUCUCAUGCAUUGGGCAACCACGAUUGAAUGAACUAAUGAUGUCUUUCAUGCAUUUGACCAUGAGGCAGUGCCUGGUCUGUAAUAUCUGCCACAUGACAUGCUAAACUAAUCCAUUCGCCAUAGACAUUCCACCAACACAUCAGUUAGCUCUCACUUUCCUUUUGAGAUAUUUUAUAAGUUUUUUUUGUUGAAAAUCUUAUUUAGUGUACCAAAAGCUCUCUGGCUAUUUUUAUUCUUUUACUGUCCAUAUUGCUGUUGCAGUCAUUUGCCCUAUACACAAAAAAAUCAUCAACUGGUUCCAGGAUAUCAUUGUUAAUUUAUACUCUCUUCUGUUUUAUACACCACAAGAGAAAAAAAAAGGCACCACAAAAGAAUUAUCCACUUGGGAUGGAAACUGGUAGAUAUGAUGUACAUGUACAGACAAACAAAUGAUUACAAUUUCAGAAAAACUGGAUGAUUUAUUUAAGAGAAAGAGCCUCACAGACUGAGCAAAUCAAUAACACAUUGACCCACCUAUGGCCCUUAUGCAGGCAGUCAUUCGGCUUGGCAUUAAUUGAUAGAUUGUUGGAUGUCCUCCAGAGGGAUAUCAUGCGAAAUGCUGUCCAAUCAGUGCGUUAGAUUGUCAGAAUCUCAAGCUGGUAGGAAGGCCCUGCCUGUAAUGCUCCAUAUGUUCUCAGUUGAGAACAGGUCAGGCCAACAUAGGAUUCGGCAAGAAUGAAGACAUGCAAUAGAAACUCUCGCUGUGUGGGGGUGAGCUUCCUUCACCUUGCUGAAAUGCAAGCCCAGGAUGACUUGCCAUGAAGGGCAACAAAAUGGAGUAUAGAAAAUCAUCAACGUGCAGUUGUGCUGUCAUGGUGCUAUGGAAAACAAUCAAAAGGAUCCUGCUUUGAAAAGAAAUGGCAUCCAAGACCAUCACUUCUGGCUAUUGGUCAUAUGGCAGGUGACAAUCAGACACAUCUUCAUUAAUUGUGGAGGCUCAUUUUGAAGUGGGAUGCGUCUACACUGAAAGUUUGAGCACUAUGCUUUAUUUUCCACAAAUAAUUUUGCAAUGUCUGCUGUAUAUACCCUACGCCAUAGCAACUUUGUUGUGACAAAUAUAGUCCAAUGCCUUUGGAAGGUCAAGGACCAUAUAUCUAAUUCUUCUUUGCUCACUUGCUGCUUUGCCUCUUUCAGAAUAUUUAAAAUAGAAUUUCCUAGUCUGUCUUAUAACAAUUUGCACUGUUUUAUGUAAGACCGAUCUGACGGUAACUGAUCUAUAAUUUUCAGCAUUUGAUUGAUCCCUGCCUCUAUGAACAGACAUGAUUUUUAACACUACUUAAACCAUAGUUAAACUUGUCAGUGAUCUCAUCCAGAAAUCCGAACAGCAAGUAACAUAGAAUUUUCCUUUAUUGUGAAUUGUUGUACUAGUAAAAACUGUUGCUAUAGUUUGAGACAUUCUGUUUAGUAAUUCAGUAGCUGUAAGCGAUUGAUUUCAGUUAUAAUUGUUCAUUAUUUACACCUAAUGACAAAUACUUCGUCUGAGGAUAAAAGAUGGAGAUCUUCAGAUUCUAACAAUGUUAGAAAAGGGAACUAGGAGAAGACAGCAACUGUAAGUUAGUGUUUGAUGAAGUGCUGAACAAAGAUCCAAUAUUAUAAGAAAAUUUAAUUAUUUGGAAGACUGGAAUGAAUGAUAGUUGCAUCUGACAGACCUCAUUACAAUACCUUCAGUUUGUAGAAGGCAAUCAAGGCAGAAUGAUGAUGCACAGCUUCGAGGGUGUAGUUUGAACUACAGAGUGAGAACAAAAUGUGACGCCAUUACGUAUGAAGUUCCUAUGGAGAAAAGCCUUCAUGACAGUGUUUGGAAUAGCAAGGUGAUGAUUAAUGACAGUUAAAAGAUUAAUGAAGUUGUGUGUCUCUCCUCGUGAUGGAAGGGGUAAGCAUGGAAAUAGGCCAUAGAAAGUUAAGGAAGAAGGAGAAAAGGCAGUUGAUAAUCGUACUGAUUCAUUUUAGGGUAGAUUAAGUCAUUGCAGUAAUGACAAAACCAGGAUAUUUUAUCUCCCAAAGGAACUUUCAGUGAAAAAAAAUACACAAAAUGUUCCAGGAAAAAUACCCAAAUUGUGACAUUUCAUGUCAGAUGUAUAGAACAAUAAUCAGCAUCCAAUUCAAUGUAGUGCACACACUCUGUGAUAAGUGCUGAAUGCAAGAGUAUCUGAAAAUUUAGGUAAUGAUAUGAAGAAACAAGCCUGGAAAGAAAUUAAUAUCACCACCAUUGACCACAAGAUUCACAAAGUCAAAGCUGAAACUUUUUAUUCCAGAAAGAGAAAUACGUGUUUAAGAAGGCAAAAUUCUAAUGAAACCGAAGCAAACUUUGUACUUACGAAGUACCACCAUAAUUAUCUCUCUUGCAAAAGGCGGUUGUUUACUCCAUAAAAAUUCAUCAGCUGUCAAAUGGAAUUCUGUUGUUCUACACCUUUGUUGUUGUUUUUCUUAAUCUCUGUGCGACAGAAUUGUUGGACAAGAAAGUCAAACAUAUUUAAUUUUUUAUGAUUCACGUUCAGGCCAGAAUAAGAAUUACACUGUUCCAAGUUAUCUUAAUUAUCCUGUGAGUGAACUAAAACUUCUGAAGACAGUGAAAGUAACUUUUCCUAUUGGAGGACACUUUCGUGGAGUGUGGUAAGAAUAUAAUUUAUAAUAUAAAAGCAGCUGUAGAAGUACCGAUGGGUUAGGUGCGAAUAGUGGUUAAAGCUCAAUGGAGACCUAAACCUUUUGAUGUUGUGAUAGCCAAUCAAGAUUUUAUAAAAAAUUGUUAAUCAUUUCUGCAAAAGAAAAAUUUGAGAAAGUGCUAAAAAGACCCUUUGGUGGGGUAGUAAAAAAAAAAAAUGCUCCGCCUCAUUCAACAUCGAGAAACUUAUAAUGUAGCUAUCAUUUCAUUGGUGGUGAGAGCUUCACAGCAACUUCAAGAUCAGCAGCCUGGAGAGUACAUCUCCUGCUUACUAAGGCCCUCUGGCAAUAUCAAAAGAAGAAAAGUAUCGGGACCUCCAUGUUUUGAAGGAGUGUUGUUUUCAAGAAGCUAGUGUGUUUUACACAUACCUUUUACACUAGGCUGAAAAGUGCAUGUUGGGAC
Schistocerca serialis cubense is the source of this 4559-nucleotide long non-coding RNA. RefSeq lists it as uncharacterized. NCBI's taxonomy places the organism in Eukaryota, Metazoa, Arthropoda, Insecta, Orthoptera, Acrididae. The transcript is spliced from 2 exons. The record is from RefSeq and is a predicted model, not a curated record.